This 92-nucleotide transfer RNA is filed under the name Priestia megaterium. RNAcentral's name for it is "Bacillus megaterium tRNA-Ser". It matches the Rfam family "tRNA". Rfam says of the family: Transfer RNA (tRNA) molecules are approximately 80 nucleotides in length. Their secondary structure includes four short double-helical elements and three loops (D, anti-codon, and T loops). The record is from RNAcentral. Lineage: Bacteria; Bacillati; Bacillota; Bacilli; Caryophanales; Bacillaceae.
GGAGAAGUACCCAAGUGGCUAUAAGGGGCUUCCCUGCUAAGGAAGUAGAUCGCUUUAGCGGUGCAAGGGUUCGAAUCCCUUCUUCUCCGCCA